This 979-nucleotide ribosomal RNA is filed under the name human gut metagenome. RNAcentral's name for it is "bacterial LSU rRNA". It matches the Rfam family "Bacterial large subunit ribosomal RNA", at positions 1945 to 2925 of the family's 2925-position model. The record is from RNAcentral.
ACGGUCCUAAGGUAGCGAAAUUCCUUGUCGGGUAAGUUCCGACCCGCACGAAAGGCGUAAUGAUUUGAGCGCUGUCUCGACAAUGCAUCCGGUGAAAUUGAAGUACCAGUGAAGAUGCUGGUUACCUGCGCCAGGACGGAAAGACCCCAUGGAGCUUUACUCCAGUCUGGUACUGGGACUCGGUAUUGCAUGUACAGGAUAGGUGGGAGGCUAGGAGAUGGUAACGCCAGUUGCCAUGGAGCCGCUGUUGGGAUACCACCCUUGCAGUAUUGGGUUUCUAACCAGCCGCCGUGACCCGGCGGUGGGACAAUGCCAGACGGGGAGUUUGACUGGGGCGGUCGCCUCCGAAAGGGUAUCGGAGGCGCCCAAAGGUUCCCUCAGAAUGGACGGAAACCAUUCGAAGAGUGCAAAGGCAGAAGGGAGCUUGACUGCGACACCGACGGGUGGAGCAGGUACGAAAGUAGGACUUAGUGAUCCGGUGGUAUAAAGUGGGAUUGCCAUCGCUCAACGGAUAAAAGCUACCCUGGGGAUAACAGGCUUAUCACUCCCAAGAGUUCACAUCGACGGAGUGGUUUGGCACCUCGAUGUCGGCUCAUCGCAUCCUGGGGCUGUAGUAGGUCCCAAGGGUUGGGCUGUUCGCCCAUUAAAGCGGUACGCGAGCUGGGUUCAGAACGUCGUGAGACAGUUCGGUCCCUAUCCGGCGUGGGCGUAGGAUAUCUGAGAGGAGCUGUCCUUAGUACGAGAGGACCGGGAUGGACGGGCCGCUGGUGCAUCGGUUAGACUGCCAAGUCUACGGCCGAGUAGCCAAGCCCGGAAGGGAUAAACGCUGAAGGCAUCUAAGCGUGAAGCCCCCCUUAAGAUGAGAUAUCCCAUUCGAAAGAAGUAAACCCCCUUGAAGACGACGAGGUAGAUAGGGCAGAGGUGGAAGUGCAGCAAUGCAUGGAGCUGACUGUUACUAAUCGGGUGAGGGCUUGACCAA